UUCUGUACUCAGGUUCAAUGUCAUCUUCUGAUUCCCCCAUCCUAAUCAAAUAGCCCAUAUUCCUCAUGUAUUCUUCGCAUGAUAACUCCACCAUAUCUUCUUCUUCUUCAUCUGAUAUCUCCACCACUUCUACUUCAGUUGGUGUGAUCUCCGCAACAUCAUCAUCCGUAGCUUCUGGUUGGAGAGGUGGUAUGAUUCCACUUGCUGAGAGGCCACAAACAAUCGGUUUUCUUUGCUUCCAUUACUGGAUGUGUCUGACUUGUUCCCCGGAAAAGCAAAAUAUGAAAACAGAAACGCAUAAAGACUACUAAUAUUACACAUCAA
RNAcentral lists this long non-coding RNA (324 nucleotides) under Brassica napus (rape). Its description in RNAcentral is "long non-coding RNA (BNAP_LNC019884)". The record is from RNAcentral. Lineage: Eukaryota; Viridiplantae; Streptophyta; Magnoliopsida; Brassicales; Brassicaceae.